Oryzias latipes (Japanese medaka) is the source of this 668-nucleotide non-coding RNA. The record is from RefSeq and is a predicted model, not a curated record. Lineage: Eukaryota; Metazoa; Chordata; Actinopteri; Beloniformes; Adrianichthyidae.
CUCAUGAAACACAGCACUAUGCUGCAGACAGCAGGUUGUCUGAGACAUAUUUCAAAGAUUGAAGAAAAGAUAGACAUUGUGUCUGACUAUCUCCGAUGGUAUAUAAUCGACCGCAACUCAUCUGUACUUGACAGGUGGAUUACCAAAACACUCUAUGCAUCUGCUCCUGGUCCAGCCCUUCGAUCAAAUUUUAGGCCUGCGAGUUAAAAUGUUUGCCUACCCCUGAGAUACGCUUUAGUUUUUUUUUUCUCUUCUGCUGCAGCUGGACUGAUAUCUGCAUCACCUUUUCACCAGAACAGAGUUCCCUCGUUUAUUUCAGGAGUUACGUACUAAGAAUAACCGAGAACGAUGAAAUCUGCGGAGUAGGAUCCCGGACGUUUAAUGGCAGUAAAACUCCUCGCUACACACUUUCUGCACUUUUCACUUUUCUCACACAUUCGUCUCAAAGUUCAAACCUUCAUAGUAAUAAAGUCCAUAAGUAUAGAAUGAAAACAAAGAUCUGAUCACGAUCAAAGAUUUCUACAGAUCUUAAGAGCUGUGCGUUUCUGUACAGGAGACACGUCACAAAGGAGAUUGAUUGACAAGAUCUCCAGCCAAUCAGAACACGGUGCGCCGUUUGAAAAAAGAAGCAGCAGAAUCUCUGUAACAGAGUGAGCGAAACCGCAAAA